This is a long non-coding RNA of Etheostoma spectabile (orangethroat darter), 101 nucleotides long. RefSeq lists it as uncharacterized. The transcript is spliced from 3 exons. The record is from RefSeq and is a predicted model, not a curated record. Lineage: Eukaryota; Metazoa; Chordata; Actinopteri; Perciformes; Percidae.
ACUUCCACCUACCAAUGAAACAGUUCUAGCCAAUCAGAUGCAAAGUGGUGGGUCUUUGCCAAAAAGCGAGAGUGCGUUUCACUGUGGCAGUGUGUGACAGA